Molecule: ribosomal RNA, 631 nt
Filed under: uncultured bacterium
Lineage: Bacteria
Description: bacterial SSU rRNA
Rfam family: Bacterial small subunit ribosomal RNA
Source: RNAcentral
CAGCGGCGGACGGGUGAGUAACACGUGGGCAACCUGCCUGUAAGACUGGGAUAACUCCGGGAAACCGGGGCUAAUACCGGAUAACUCUUUUCCUCACAUGAGGAAAAGCUGAAAGAUGGUUUCGGCUAUCACUUACAGAUGGGCCCGCGGCGCAUUAGCUAGUUGGUGAGGUAACGGCUCACCAAGGCCACGAUGCGUAGCCGACCUGAGAGGGUGAUCGGCCACACUGGGACUGAGACACGGCCCAGACUCCUACGGGAGGCAGCAGUAGGGAAUCUUCCGCAAUGGACGAAAGUCUGACGGAGCAACGCCGCGUGAGUGAUGAAGGUUUUCGGAUCGUAAAACUCUGUUGUCAGGGAAGAACAAGUACCGGAGUAACUGCCGGUACCUUGACGGUACCUGACCAGAAAGCCACGGCUAACUACGUGCCAGCAGCCGCGGUAAUACGUAGGUGGCAAGCGUUGUCCGGAAUUAUUGGGCGUAAAGCGCGCGCAGGCGGUUCCUUAAGUCUGAUGUGAAAGCCCCCGGCUCAACCGGGGAGGGUCAUUGGAAACUGGGGAACUUGAGUGCAGAAGAGAAGAGUGGAAUUCCACGUGUAUCGGUGAAAUGCGUAGAGAUGUGGAGGAACACC